Molecule: long non-coding RNA, 2538 nt
Organism: Zea mays
Lineage: Eukaryota; Viridiplantae; Streptophyta; Magnoliopsida; Poales; Poaceae
Exons: 4
Source: RefSeq, a predicted model, not a curated record
AUCUCACUAGCGGUGUGGAGAGUGGCAGGGAAUCCUCAUCGUUGUACUGACGGUACGAUAUACAACAAGUAUGUACUGUCUUUGAUUGUGCUUUCGUUUAAAAGGUAGUUUUGUCAGUUCACAUUACCCUGCAACUUGUUAAUUACUAUAUCUGUUGAAAGGAGUUGUCUAUUAUCUGCAACUUCACAUAGCAGGUCAAUACAGACAAGACAAAAAAACUAAACAAAGCAUUGUCAAUGGUGACCUACCACAAAAAUAUAUUCUUAACUGACAAUAAGAUUAUUUCAGGCUCUGUUCAUCCUACUAACAUUUUAUUUAGACAUAUACCGCUACGCUUGUAAUUAUUAUGGUGCUUAUCAUCUUCUAGCCCAUUGGAAGUUUCCUUCUCAUCUCUGUUAUCAGGGAAGCAUUUGAGCCUUCUCUAUCAUCAAGCUGGGAUCCCUUGAGUAUUUGGAGAGGUAUUUAGGAGAUCAUGGAUGAAGAAAUGGAAGAUGUCAUAGUCAAGGUUCUGGACUGCUCGAACCAAUCAGAGGUGAUAAAUCAGUGCUAGUUAUUGCUUUAUAUUUCUGAACAAGACGUUUCUGUCUGUUAGAAAUUGUUGCGACAUUUGCUUAGGGAUUCCCAUGUGCCAUGUUACUAGUUACACUGCUAUUGCUGGUCUCAUUUAGUUUAACAUACCACUGUUAGAUCUUAGAGGUAUAUAUUGCUAAAAAGAAUGCAUGAUCAUUGAUUCAUUGUGAUACCACCUGUGCUAACUUAUUUUGAGCUCCUCUUAUUCUUGCCGGCUCCCCGAUGGAGAUGAAUGAAGAAAGGAAGGUCAGCUUACUAGGACUAGCAGAUAUAUUAUCAGCCUCAAUUGGAGGAUUCUCAUGGGCUCCCUUGAUUUCAAAGAUCUGCAAGAAUAAAGUCGAGGCAGAGGCUUGGUUUACUGGUCUUAGUGCCUUGAUAUGUCGAGGACAGCAUGGAUCCCAGGUCCAACAUAUAGAUGGAAUCCGGAUCGCUGGACUUCCUUUUGAUGGUGCAAGAGAAAGUAGCCUAAGUGGUAGCUCUACUUUCUCUUCGGAUUCCUUUGAGAAUAAGCUGAGCUCGGUAAACUCUACCAAGGAUCGUUCUUCGAGAGAAUAUACAUAUUCAGAAAGGACUGAUGUGUCAGAUAUGCAAGUGAAAAGUGUUUCUUCUUCAGACAUUCGAAUCAGUGUUUCCAGUGCCCUUAGCACAUCCAGCCAUGGCUCUACGAACAAGAGCCAUCAAGCUUCUAGUUCUGGUCGUUCGCUCUCCUAUUUUUCUGCUCAAUAUGUAAGGAGCUGAGUCAUGUGCAUUGUAGCCUGUAUUUUUUUAUUUUUUAGCAAUUGACUAUAUUUGAUGAACAUCAGAGAUGCAUAUACUUUUUUCUCCAAGUUUCAGCAUGUAGUGGUUAUCAGGGAGUCGCCAUCUUGGAAGUAUAGUAGCUGAAUUUAUUUGAGUAGUCUUUUAUCCAGGGUACUAAAUUUUUUUGUUAAAAAUGUCACUGCAUUUAUGUCCUAGUGUCCACAUCCUUAUCUCUACUACUUUUGGCUGCCUAGGUAAGAUGUUACAUCCAUAUGACCUUUGUGAUAUCUUUUUUGCUAUAUGUACUUUUACCAGGCAUAAAUGUGAUCUGAUUUGUGUAGCUUGCUCGUCUUGCUAAGAUGGAGGUUGAGUAUCGAUGUAUCCAGAUCAUAGAGAUUGGUCUUCCAAUGGGUAAACAUAUUAGGAUGAGAGACACCCCGGGGGUCUAAAAUCUGAUGUUGAGUCCGCAUUGCAAGUUCUAAAUUUUGCAAUAUAAGUUGACUGAGAUAGGAGAGCAUGAACAAGUGGAUAGACUUGAGGUGAUUUUAAUAUUUUAUGAUAUUAUCCACCCAACCGUCUCAGCUUUCUUAAGAACUAACUAGUUCAUUUACAAUAUGUUUCUUGUCACAUCUGUGCCUUUUAUUUUUCUUAGGUUUUACCUUCUCCCCAUUCGUGUAUCUAAAAAAGAUCUCUUCACAGCUCUGGAAACAAUCCAAUGGAUGUGGAUGUAGGAAACACUUCAAGUGACCAACAUGUUCCGGCAGAGAGGAUUGAAGCAUCUGAAGUAAUUCUUGGUAAGCAUGUGUUGGAAAACCAUAUAGAUCAAAUGUCAACUGAUGAAGUCGAGCAAUCGAUUAACAGGGACUACAAGAUACAAACAGGGUAAUGAUGUGGAAUGGUAUUGUUCGAAUCGUAUAGCUACCAUUCUAGCAAGAUGUUUACCUACAGGUCCCCUGGCCAUGAUGUGUCAUGAUGGAUGUCUGAUGAAUCCAGCUAAAGCUCUACAUUUGUAACGAACGCUUUCUGACGAGGGCACGGCGAUAACACACCUUCUAUUCUAGUAUGCUUAGUUAGAUUCAAUGUUAGCGCAAACGACUGAUGAUAAGUUUUUCAGUUAGUAUUUUAAUUUGGAUUUAGAGUACACUUAUGUAUGAUUUAUUUGACAAUGCUUAUUUAUGAGACAUUGAAUUGUACUUAUCUAUAUUACAUUAAAUAUGAUGUUAUUAAAUA